Non-coding RNA from Felis catus (domestic cat), 85 nucleotides. Lineage: Eukaryota; Metazoa; Chordata; Mammalia; Carnivora; Felidae. The record is from Rfam.
GCCUGGGUGGCUCAGUCGGUUGAGCAUCCGACUUCGGCUCAGGUCACGAUCUCGCAGUCCGUGAGUUCGAGCCCCGCGUCAGGCU